GUGUUCUAUCACCUCUGUCAGGGGUUCGCUUGUUUUUAACGCCUUCACAAACAUUUGAGUCUAAUAUCGUUAAUCCAACAAUCCGCCCCAUCACCCCGCCCUUCUCUUUAUCACUGGCAAAGAAAACGAGCACCCCUCUUCAUGUGACGCACUAUCCUGACAGCGGCUAAGCUAAUGCUAAAGCGCUGCCAGUGACUGUACGUGUCGCAGAUCGGAGAUUGAAUUGAACCCGUUUCCCUCCCUCAGUCCUGGCCCACGUAGAGAAGCUCGGUAACGUUUUCGGGUACUUGUCUGGGAUGUAUGGAUGGAUAGCUGACGGAAUCUCAUCGCUGUUUGAGCCCCUCGCUGGGCAGAAGUUUACUGAGUGUUCCGCGGAGGAAAGCGCCAGCGAGGGCAGCGUGCGCCCGGGAUCACUGCGGCUGGACAAUAGCGGCAGAGCGGCUAAAAGAAGCUACCACAGCAUUGACACAAAUGAAAGCGUUUACAAAAGUGAGGUGGAGGUCAAGCGGCGCAAGCGAGAUGUAGUCCUAAGCUUUGUGAAGAAGACCGUCGCUGGUGUCACCAGUCUCCUCGGGCUGCGAAGGCCGGUCAAAAACAGCUACCAGCAGUCCCAAUAUGAUGACACACAGCUUGUUACCCCGAUGGGGAUAGAUGAGCUUCACACCUCGUUUAUCACAAAAUCAGACUGGAUCAUGGAUAAACCAGGUGGAGUCAAACAUCCCUUUAAAAGCUCUUCUCCUCCUUUAAUGAGAAAGCAAAGCGGUACGGGCCUGGCUGACAGAGACAGAAGAGGCUCUCUCCAGCUGCUCCCGUCCAGGCCCGCUCUGAGGCUGGGGCCCAACACUGUGGACCCCGUGUGCUUUGGACACAGCCGCUCACAUAAACCCAGCCUCACUGUGGAGGAGGCGAUUAGACAAAACAACAAAGAACACUACAGACGUUUGCUGGAGAUGGUGUCGGAGAAGUACAGCAAGAAUCAACCACUACCUUUUAACCAGUCAAAGCCCCAAAGUGAGACGACAACGUCGUCAAGAACCGAACACUCAACUACCUGGAAACCCUUUGUUGCUAAGAAGACUGGCGUGAAUUCUGGUGUCUUCACAUGGAGGAACCAAACUCCAAAGGGCAGAUGGUGCGCUGCCAAUUUCAGUAACUCCUUCAGUGGGCCUUUGAGGACACUCAACAUGCAAGAGGUGCCAAGAAGCAGACUGCAGAGCUGGACCUCUCCAGUGAAGUGGCCACUCGCUUGA
Molecule: long non-coding RNA, 1250 nt
Filed under: Neogobius melanostomus (round goby)
Lineage: Eukaryota; Metazoa; Chordata; Actinopteri; Gobiiformes; Gobiidae
Description: lncRNA (ENSNMLG00000015283.1)
Source: RNAcentral